GUAAAGAACUUUUACAUUGGAGCGAUACAGAGAAGAUUAGCAUGGCUCCUGUACAAGGAUGAUAUGCAAAUUUAUGAAGCAUUCCAGAUUUUU
This 93-nucleotide small nuclear RNA is filed under the name Fukomys damarensis (Damara mole-rat). Lineage: Eukaryota; Metazoa; Chordata; Mammalia; Rodentia; Bathyergidae. The record is from RNAcentral.